Schistocerca nitens (vagrant locust) is the source of this 675-nucleotide long non-coding RNA. RefSeq lists it as uncharacterized. The record is from RefSeq and is a predicted model, not a curated record. Lineage: Eukaryota; Metazoa; Arthropoda; Insecta; Orthoptera; Acrididae. The transcript is spliced from 4 exons.
GGCGUGCGCAGGCCAGUGGCGGUGGCUUGGCUGCAGGAAGGACAGUUGCCGGUUGCAGAUCGGCACGGCUGUUCACCUACUCACUGCAGGCAUCCGAGUACACAGCGCGACUCGCGAAAUAAAGACGACUCGUGUAGCAGGGCGGGGAAGCGAGAUCUCUCGAGGCGAGGCGGAAGAAGCGAGCGCAGACGCGACGGAGAGCAACAAGUGUCGAGUGACAGACAGCAGGAAGUGACGUAGCGGGCGGGGGAGGGUGCGUGCGAGUCAGCGCGCGCAUCUGCGUCUGUGUGCGUGCGUGCGUGCGUCUGUGUGAUUCAGUCGGGAUGCGACUGUCAAUAGAGUGAGGUGCCUCCCUGCGUCUCCAGUUGAGAAAGAGUGAUUCGCGAGAGGCUUCCCCGUGUGCGCGUUCCGUCACGUGACCCCGUCCUCGUCAGCCAGCAGGUAGUGGGACUACGAGCUGCCACUACACAGUUCCUCAUUCGGGUCUGAGACUGGAAGCAACGCCACGCGACUUCGUCCCCGUCUGCUUCGAGGCCACCACACUCAUCUAUUGACACGCAGAAGUUGCAGACUGCAAAAAUGUCGUCUUUCAAGCUGGUGAUUCCUAAGGUGGACGAGACGUACCGCAGCGGGUCGUCGGCGGACCUGUCGGCUCUGCCCAGCGUGCCGGACGUG